AACGAACGCUGGCGGCAGGCCUAACACAUGCAAGUCGAACGCUCGUAGCAAUACGAGAGUGGCAGACGGGUGAGUAACACGUGGGAACCUUCCCUAUGGUUCGGAAUAGCUCAGGGAAACUUGAGGUAAUACCGGAUAAGCCCUUACGGGGAAAGAUUUAUCGCCAUUGGAUGGGCCCGCGUCGGAUUAGCUAGUUGGUGAGGUAACGGCUCACCAAGGCGACGAUCCGUAGCUGGUCNGAGAGGAUGAUCAGCCACACUGGGACUGAGACACGGCCCAGACUCCUACGGGAGGCAGCAGUGGGGAAUAUUGGACAAUGGGCGCAAGCCUGAUCCAGCCAUGCCGCGUGAGUGACGAAGGCCUUAGGGUUGUAAAGCUCUUUUGGCGGGGAAGAUAAUGACGGUACCCGCAGAAUAAGCUCCGGCUAACUUCGUGCCAGCCGCCGCUGU
RNAcentral lists this ribosomal RNA (449 nucleotides) under uncultured bacterium. Its description in RNAcentral is "bacterial SSU rRNA". It matches the Rfam family "Bacterial small subunit ribosomal RNA", at positions 29 to 521 of the family's 1533-position model. The record is from RNAcentral.